GUGGACACAAGUCACGUGCAGUUCAUCAAGCUGGCUAGGGUAACCACAGUGCUGGGCAGGACAGGUUCGCAGGGACAGGGCACGCAGGUGCCAGUGAGAUUUAUGGAUGACACCAGCAGCUCUAUCAUCCAAACCGUCAAAGGCCCCUUUCGAGAGGGUGAUGUGCUCACCCUAUGGAAGUCAGAAAGAGAAGCUCGGUGGUUGCGCUGA
Molecule: long non-coding RNA, 210 nt
Filed under: Mus musculus (house mouse)
Lineage: Eukaryota; Metazoa; Chordata; Mammalia; Rodentia; Muridae
Description: long non-coding RNA chrX:142425326-142425536
Source: RNAcentral